Molecule: transfer RNA, 73 nt
Filed under: Planctomycetota bacterium
Lineage: Bacteria; Pseudomonadati; Planctomycetota
Description: Planctomycetes bacterium (groundwater metagenome) tRNA-Gly
Rfam family: tRNA
About the family: Transfer RNA (tRNA) molecules are approximately 80 nucleotides in length.
Source: RNAcentral
GCGUCCAUGAUGUAGCCUGGCAGCCUGCCACCUUGCCAUGGUGGAUGCGGCGGUUCAAAUCCGCCUGGACGCU